Herpailurus yagouaroundi (jaguarundi) is the source of this 255-nucleotide long non-coding RNA. RefSeq lists it as uncharacterized. The transcript has 2 exons. The record is from RefSeq and is a predicted model, not a curated record. NCBI's taxonomy places the organism in Eukaryota, Metazoa, Chordata, Mammalia, Carnivora, Felidae.
AUUUGGGGAAGUCACAGGGGUCAGCACAUCCAAAGUGCAAUAGAUAAACCUCACCCUGGGAAAACCACCUUCGCGAUCAGGUAUCUCUCCUGCCAGAAGAGGAAGCUAUUAUUCUUUCAUUAAAUAAAGCAACUGAAGCCCUCAGAGGACAAAAAUGCUUGUGGCCAAUUACACUCUUUUCACCAACUCAUUUAAAAAAUUUUUCACUCAUUAAAAAAAAAAAAAAAAAAAAAGACUGGUUCAUCUUCCCUCUCU